UCUGUCCAACAAACCACAGUGCCAUGUGUC
This 30-nucleotide non-coding RNA is filed under the name Mus musculus (house mouse). The record is from RNAcentral. Lineage: Eukaryota; Metazoa; Chordata; Mammalia; Rodentia; Muridae.